This 169-nucleotide unclassified non-coding RNA is filed under the name plant metagenome. Its description in RNAcentral is "partial contains small subunit ribosomal RNA, internal transcribed spacer 1, and 5.8S ribosomal RNA". The record is from RNAcentral.
UUUCCGUAGGUGAACCUGCGGAAGGAUCAUUAGUGAACGCACUCACGGGCUUAUACCGAUUCUAAACCUCUGCGAACCGUGCCCUUCGGGGCCAUUUUUCAAACAUAGUGUAAGGAUCGUCAUAUAUCAUAACAAAACAAAACUUUCAACAACGGAUCUCUUGGCUCUU